This 74-nucleotide transfer RNA is filed under the name Candidatus Poribacteria bacterium. Its description in RNAcentral is "tRNA-Arg". It matches the Rfam family "tRNA". From Rfam's summary of the family: Transfer RNA (tRNA) molecules are approximately 80 nucleotides in length. Their secondary structure includes four short double-helical elements and three loops (D, anti-codon, and T loops). Further hydrogen bonds mediate the characteristic L-shaped molecular structure. tRNAs have two regions of fundamental functional importance: the anti-codon, which is responsible for specific mRNA codon recognition, and the 3' end, to which the tRNAs corresponding amino acid is attached (by aminoacyl-tRNA synthetases). tRNAs cope with the degeneracy of the genetic code in two manners: having more than one tRNA (with a specific anti-codon) for a particular amino acid; and 'wobble' base-pairing, i.e. permitting non-standard base-pairing at the 3rd anti-codon position. Lineage: Bacteria; Candidatus Poribacteria. The record is from RNAcentral.
GCGUCCGUGGCUCAAUUGGAUAGAGCAACAGACUUCGGAUCUGUAGGUUGGGGGUUCGAGUCCCCCCGGACGUG